UCUCCUUUUCGCAAUGUUGACGCAAUCUAUAAAUAGUGGAACAAAAGGACCAACUUCCUCGCAGCUUUGCUGAAACUGCACAAAAAAGGCAACCGGGGGGGGGACCCACACGCGGUUAUUUUUUGAUUUUAUUUUUCUCUGGUUAAAAGGCGAAUCCUCCUCCUCCCUUCCUCCCUCUCUCUCCUUCCCCCCCCCCCCCCCCCCACUGGAAGAUCUUUUUUAUUUUCUCUUGCUGCCUCCUGUGCUGGCAACGUCCUGCGAGUGGCUAUUUUGCUUUUGCACCGAGAGAAGAGCUUCCUCCCUCGCCCUCUCUUCUGACACUUAUGGAUGAAAUCUACACUGAUGUCUAACCUGUAAUGAGUGCCAAUGUUUUGACCUUUCAAUAGAGAGCUGAUUUUGGAGAACGGCUUACUCCUGUGAUUGAAAAACUCUCUGGAAGGUUGAUGGAGCAUGAGCAUGAUAGCCCUGUUAAUUUCCAGAAGUUGUCUGUCAUGAUCUGACUAGGAGGCUUAUUGCAAUGGAGUGGCAUGCUUGGGUCCAUGCUGUAUUUUUCUCUUGCAGGAGAAUUUUUCAUUGAGAUGAUUGAAAUUGCUGCAGUGAGAAUGGAAAUUACUUGGGCUCCUUUCCUUUUAAAAGCUGCAUGCGAAAACUGUGUGGUGAGUCAAAUGUAGACUAAUGGUUAUGUAAAUGUCACUAAUUUUAGAUACAGAUCUGAAAGUGUGUUUCCUUUUAAGAUUUUUUCUUCACUAUCAUGACUCAGUAUCACUUGCUAAUCUAAUUUUAUUAGCCCUGUUGUAUUUUACCAUUUAAAAUACACAUACCUUAUUCAAAUAGGUCUUCACACAGUCAAGGUAAUAUAUCAUAUAGAUGCUUUAAAAGGAGGAAAAAAGGCUUAUCUGCACUCAAAAUUUGUUUUGAUUUUAGCCUUCACAGAACUGCUACUGGUGCAGUUGCACAGGUACAAAUAUGAUGUAGAUGAAUAUGAAUCCAGGUUGUUAUAAUUCAUUAGUUUGUAUUAUUUGACCAUAUUUCAGAAUUUCAGACUGGUAAAAAUCACUCAUUUUCUACUACUGCUAUGAAUUUGAACUGACAAAAUUACUAAUAGCUAAAAUUUCAGAUUUAGUUCAGACCUGAGCAGUUCUCAAAAGCACAGCUAUGCAGAAUUAGCGUACAGCUUUUCAUUAAGAACAUUUAUGUGCACAUUUACCUACUACAUUUCUCUCAAUAUAUAUCACCAAAAUGAGGUUGACUACUUAGAAAAAAAUACCGUAUCUGGCUCAAAGUUGGAUAGCUUUCUCUUUGAGUUUCUUUAGGGAGUUUCUUUUCUUUCUUUCAACCUAUGCAAUUGCUAAAUAUUAAAGACCUGCACAUACACUUCAGCCAUUUGAGGACUUAGAAAUGCUUGGAAAGACUUUAAAGGUCUCUGCUUUUUUUCAUCAUGCUGCAGACUGUUGCUUGCAGCAGGCCCAUCCAUCCAGUUGCUCUUGUAGAUCUAGUAUUUUAAUGUACCCAGGAUUUUUCCCAGAGACUUCCAUGAGUAGAUGUGAAUCUAAAGAGCUGAUCAGAGACUUGAGAGCAUACAACAAAUAAGUCUAUUUACAUGGCUUUGUCAAAGUCCAGUGGCCAAACUGUUUGUUGCUGACUACUUCAUUGUGCUCGUGUUGGCCUUUGUGCAAAGAGUGAAACAGACUGUGCUUCCUUCUGGUUCACCAUGCAAACUCCUAUCACUGGCACAAGGGCAGGAAAUAGCAGGGAGCAGGAAGAAGCAGAAGGGCAAAGGUUGGAGCGCCUUGUUCGGUGGCCCUAGCAGCAUAGAAUAGUUCAGUGACAUGGUGAAAACACAGUUUGAGCAUUUGCAGAACCAGAGUUCAACUGAGGAACCAAAGUUCCUGUCUGGAUAAGAAAACUGCUUCAAGUGCUAAUGAAGGCCUACUCAAAUGAUUCAGUUCCUAAACCUUUGAAAAGGAUGUUACAUUUCUCACAUGGUUCUCAGGUGGCUUAAUAUUAGCAGUUAUAUUUUCCAGAUGUUUGCCUGUAUGGGUGGUGCCAGAGACUGGCUGGAUCAAGCUCACUUUGUGUUGCAGCUCUGGGGUCCUAAGGACUGUGCCUGAUGUAAGAAAGAAAGGCUCAUGUUUUCAGUUCAGGUGCUUGUUUUCUGCUAGGCUUAGGAACUGUAUGGGAAAAAGAUGCUUAAUUCACAUAAAAAGGCAAGAAAAGAUAGGCCUGCUUGAAAAUAAACAAGACUAAUAUAUGAGUGAAGACAAGUAAUUUUAGGAGCAUGUCUAAAAGUGCAAUGUUAAAAGGUUGGAGGUGAGAACAGAUACAGGAAGAUCUGAUGAACUGGAAAAUCAGAAGGAUUGAAAUAUGUUAGGCAAAGAUCUGGGGGAUUGUUCGUUUAUUGAAAUUGGAGAAAGCAGCAGCCUGACAGAGGGGAUCUGGCUUGAGGCAAAGAGAACAAGUCAUAUUGGAAAUCACUGUCAAUUUCACCUCCCUCAUUGUAUUCCACAGAGAAGAGGGCCAGCAUAUUAGUACCCUCAGCUACUUCAUGGAUUUUGGUCCUGAAAAGAAAUCUCAAAGUAAGAAUAGUUGAGGUUGUAAAGGAGAUCUCUAGUUCAAACAUGGUAGUUUUCUUUAAGGCUAUGUCCAGUCAAUUUUGAAUCUAUUCAAGGACGAAGACUCUGCAGCCUAUCCAGUUCAGCUAGAAUUUCAUGCACUUCAUUUCUUACCUGUAGCCUCUUGUCCUGUUUCUGGACAGAGAAGAGCCUGGCUAUGUCUUCUUUACUUUGCCAUACCCUCACCAGCAGGCAUUUAGAAACAUUGCUGAGAUCAUAAAAACACAAGCCCUUUCUUCUCCAGGCUGGAGUCUCAGCUCACUCAGCCUUUCUUCGUGUGAAAGAUUCUUCAGUUCUCUCAUCGUCUUUGUGGAAGUAAAUAAAAUGCUUCAUCUAAUAAGGGGAAUUAGAAUUCAAAGGAGGAAAUGGUUUUUUGAGGGGGGGGAAAACAAAGCACAAGCUAAUAACUGUAAAAAGAACAAGAAGAUCACAAAAAUGAAACAUUAAGAAGUUAGAUAACUCCUGCUUGAAGAUUCUGCAAUCUUCAUUUGCCCCCUUGUGUCAGUAUACUAUGAAGCAAUCUUUGUGAUCACAUAGAAUGUUUAAUCUAUUGAUAGGGUCAGUCUGUGGUGCUGGGCUGGGGAGGGUGCUUAUGGGCUGCUAGCAAGAAGCCUGAUGUUGCUGUAGGUGCUGCAGAAAUUAGUAAAAAAUUCUCUAGGCAAUGGAUCAAAUGGCUGCAGGUAGAGAAAACCAUGUCUUAGUGGUUAUGUCUAGUGAGAAUUGCUAAGAAUUGGAUGUGAUGUUUAUUUUUCUGCCUUUAUUCUCGUGUGAGGCUGGACAAAUAACCAGGCCAUUGUUUCUGAGUGCAUAUAUUGUGCUUUACUUUAGAGGUGUUUGAUUUAAGACACAUCUGAAAGAAACACUGGUGGUUCACAUUGGUAGCUGAGCUUUUUAGGAGCUGUCAUUUGAAUUAAAAUACUCUGUGAAGUUAUGUCUGCUGACAGUCUCCUGUCUUCCUAAAGAGAACUUCAAACUGUUGCAUACUAUAAUAGUUUCCACACCUCUGUGUCACAUUUAAAGCAGGAGUAAUGGACACAUACCUUGAACGGCUGGUAGCUACUUUUGUUUAGUAGCUGUACUACAGUAAUGCAUUGCCUUAUGGAAUUUUCUAUGGCAUUUAUUAAUUCUGAUUUCAGAGGAAGAGGUGAGUACUAUGCAUCUUUUAAAGAUCAGAUCUGCAAUCAAUUUUCCUUUUACCAGUUCAGGCUGGGAAGUAGAGUUUCUAUGCUGUUCCUUCAUGGUCUAUUUCUGCAGUCCUGCAAACUCCAAAAUACUCUGAUUUGUGUCCCGUCUUGUCACUGAUUCAUUUUGCAAAUAUAACUCAUUAUUAAACACCCGUGUGUGCCAUUUUUUUCUUGUCAUUUUUGUAACAUGGUCAACAUUGUGCAAAAUCUUCUAAAUAGUAAAGGUAAUGUACAUGUUUGAACUUCAGCAUAUUUGACAAUAAAUUUACCUGUCAAGAUCUAUUUUACAGAAAGAAUGAGCUUUUUAAAUUGUAACAGUUUCUUAAUGUACAGCAGUAAGCACUGCAUCUCUAAAAAUAUGAAGUUAUACCUAAGUAUUUAGGACUUCUACCACCAUUUUAUUCAAAUUUCAAAGGCAGUUUUCUUGGUACAGCCCAUAGCACACUUUGGUAAAUGAGAGUGGUCUGUACUAGAAAUUUGGAUCCAGUGAUCUGAAAAUGUUUCAGCUUUGCCAUUAGUCAUGGUAUCUUGAGUAUUGGGGAAAAUCUUUUCUAAUCAGGUAGCCACAUUAGCAGUAAUGGUUGAUUUUGAAGUGUUUCGGCUCCCUUUAUCUGUAUUGCAACCAAUUGUCACAGGAGUCAAAGAAAUUAUAGAAAUGUGCCCAGAGUGGUCAGCUGCUAUUGUACCAGUUUAACAGCAGCAGCAGUUCUUCAUAUUAGAACCAAACAAAACAUUUAAAAUUUAUUUGAAUGAAAACUUAUGUCUGAGGUAAAUGUGAAUCUCCCUUGUAAGGUGGAAGUUGUAAGUGUAUCAAAAUAAAAUAUUUAACUAUAAAGAGAAAUAAGAAAAAAUGAUGAAAAAAUGCCAUGGCAUGAGUGACAUUGCUCAUCUUUCUGUGAGGAGGAUAAUAAUCAUCAGAGUGCUUAUUUUUCACUCCAAAUAGUUUAUUUCUAUUACAGGCUAUUUAAUGGUCAUCAGGUGCAACUCUUUUUUUUCCCCAUGUUUUAUUCACUUGUAAUUAAUAGCUCUAUAUUUGUUAAUAAAUGAAAUUAAAUUUCUUAUAUUGCUUCUGCCUCUCAAUGUAAAAUCUGAACUUUUCUGUUCAAAAGUUCUGAAAUUACAUAUUAAUUAUAGCAGCAUUUAUCUAGUUUGUAUCUUCAGUCUGAAGUAUGCAGUGCAUAGUAGGUGAAGGCUUAGUUUCUCUUGAGAGAUAGGAAUAAUAUAUCCAUAGUGUGUUCUUCUGCUGUUUAUAGCCAUAGGAGUCAGACAUGGAUAGAAAGCUUCUCAUUUCCCUAUGUUUCUGCAGGGCAAGUAUGUGGCUUUAUUGCCUAUAAAAGAACCUUCUGUUAGCAGGUUUUAUGCUUUUAAGUGGUUUUAAAAGUAAAACAUUUUGGAAUCUCUCAAGAAAUACUCAAAAAAGCCUUAAGUAUUAUAAAAUUUGAAGUAUAUAAGGCAUAAAUUAUAACAUAGAAAGUCUCAAAUGUAUAAAUUUUUAAUGUUUUAUUGAAAUAAAGGCAAAGGAAGAGCUUCGGCGGUUUAUAUUAUUUGACCAGCUAGAAUGGUCAACAAUAAUAUAAGACUAUGGUUCUACAGCCUUGUGAUUCUUGAGCCAGACAAGUUUGGGAAUGAGUUUUCUUGUUUCCUUCACUAUUAUCCUGGCUCUCAUAUGUCUUUGGUGGUUUCACUGAAUGACUUUAGGUUAGUUUUUGGCAAGCUCAGCCAGCUGAAUGUGCUUGCUCUAAGCAACAGUGCCAGCACCGAGGAAAAUACCCUUCACUCCUGAGACUGGCACUCCAGUUUUAAAGUCCAUUUACAUUGCUUAAAUCACUGUAAGGAAUAUUCAGGGCCUAAUUCGUCCUUUCUUGAUGCUACUACAGACUUUGCCUAUCUGCACUUUAAAUCAAUAUCAAAGGGUCUGAAGACAUUUUGGUCUAUCUCUUUUCUUGUACAGAAGAUUAGUAUCAACACAUGAAACCAGCACAAAAAUGCUCCUUCAGAUAUAGCUUCUUAGCAUCUGGAAGCAGUUGUGAAAUGCUUUUCCUAUUAUCAAAACAAUGCGAGAGUCUUCCCCUUUUCCAACAAGCAAUAUCUUGUUGUAGACACAUCAAUAAAUACAUUAAAGCUAUAUUAUCCAUCUAUAAUGGAACUUCCAGGUCAAAAAAAUGAAAUUUCCAGUAAUAUGAGACAAAGAUACACAAGAACUUGAAUGUUUUGGAGGUAUGAAAUGUCUUAAAUGAGUUGUUCUUCAACCAAUUUUAGGAAAUGUGCAUGAAUGAUAGGUUGUACAGUCAGGAAAAGGAUUUCAUUGCAGAUUUGAUAACAUCGUGGAGCCAGACAGCCCCCUGUUGGUUGUAUUGCUGUGGAGGUUCUAGAAAGGAAUUGUGCUUGAAUUCAGCUGUUCAUUGCACUCAGCAAACAAUUUUUUUUCAAUCCCAUAUCAUAAAUAGAGAAAGUGGAGGGAGAAGAAAAAUGUGUGUGCUUGUAGAAACUGCCUUUGAAUCAAGUUUUAUCUCUUAUAAAUAAGAAAUGUUAAAGCUCAGUUAAAUAGAGUGCCUGCACACAGUUUCUUAAUGCCUUUAUAGAAAUUUAUUUCUAAAUUGCUGUAGAAAAAAUGUAGAACAGUACUUUGUCCUUGUGAUAAGACUAGCAUGCUUUAAUAUCACACUCACAGCCUGACUAAGGCAAAGUAUUUAGAUCCAGUUCUGUCAAGAAUGCAGGGGUUUAAAACACAGAAGUUUGUAAGCUGGCAGUGAACUAACCAGGUACAGCCUUAUUUAAUGACUGAGACUCUCUUGCAGGCACAUUUAUGAGAGCUUCUAUUUAACAAGGUACAAUUUUACCAAGAGUCUUGUGUGUUUUUUAAUCACAUUUGCUUUGCUUUAAGAUUUUUUUUGUAUAUAUUUUAAGUUGCUACCAAUGCAACUAGCUGCAUACUUCCAGUUUGUGUUUUCUCAUAUUUUGAGAAACUGAAGAAAUUUUUACUCAAAAUGAAAUUAAUGUUUCAUGCUGACAAUUGCAGGACACUUACUAGGCAUUUUUGGCAUUUGGGCUUUUUUUUCCCCCAAAGAGUUUGUAAAGAGAACCUAAAAUCUUCCUUGUAAUGAUCACUGUAUAUCCAUGUAAUGAUGAAAUGCUGUAGGUAAUGUAAGGAAUAUAGUACUGGGCGACAAAGUUCUAGAAAGAACUAUGUCACAGUGGCACAGGAUUUUCUGCUCUAAGAUAAACAAUACAGAAGUUCUCUCUGCAUCAGGUAUGGCCAAGGUUACAACAGCUCAUCUUCAUUUAAGGAAUUGGAUUUCUGCCUGAAAAUCCAUAGCUGCAAUAGUGCUACAGAAACUGAUGUGACAAUUAGUUUUCUACUACAGCACAGAAGACUAGCAUGAUGCCAAGAAAGCCAGAGUGCUGGAGGACUUUUUCUCACUCUUAGAACACAUUAAAAAAAAACCAGCGAUCAGAUGUCUUGGAACAGCUGGCAGAAACAAGAGGGUAAGGCUACAUGCUGUGAUUGAAAAGGGGGGAAUGGGAAAGAUGGGGAUAGAACAAAGAAUUGGUUUAAAAUUGUCGUGACUUGUUAAAAUCCCUCAGAAGACUUUUAAGAAACUAGCUGAAACAAUUUCAAGGCAAGGGGACUCUUCCACAAAACAAAAACCUGGGUUUCAGAAGCCUGAGGAGAUUCAAGUUCACAUCUCCUGCUUCUGAAAAAAUACCCAGUGGAGGUUGCCCACAGAUGUUCCCCAUCUUUCCUGUUAAAUCAAGGUUAUGUGCAAAAAAGUCACAAAACUAUUUUGUUCAAAGGUUGUUGGCAAUGGUAACUAUUGCUGUUAGCAGAUGAAAGCAAGCUGCAGGUAGGAUUUCAAAGAGUAGUGGAAUUUGCUUUUAUUGGACUAACUGCAGUUCCUUGCAUGUUCCAUAUUCUUUUCCUAAGAUGUUUCCUGAAGUAAUGAUUAAGUCAGCAUACAAUAAAUGUAAGUACCCAUUAAAGCACACUAAAGGAAUACCUUAUGUUUCCAGUAGAUGAACACUGAGAUAAUGAAGUAUUUGUGAAUUGCAUCACAGUCUUCUAUUAUGCCAAAUUCUGGAUUUCAUUGCUGAAGAGAGCAGCAGUAAAGGUGGCUUUAAACUGCUUUAUUCUCCUUAAUUCUCUAAAUCUGCUGAAGAUGGAAAGCAGGGAGCAGCAUUAAAGAACUUCAUGGCUGUUCAGCAACCAGCAAGGGGACUCACCUCUUCCCUCCUGCAAUCUACCCUCAAACUGCUUUCUUUCUGUGUUUGAAGCAGCUUUUUGAGUCUUUGGGUUUCAGAGGUUUUUUGUUUUAAUUUGAGUUUUCUUUACAUGAGAGUUUACAUUCCCCCCCAAUAAAUUAGCAGCAUAGAUAAGAGCCUGUUCUUGGUUGAAGAAGAUUCAAAUAACUUAUCCUGUUCAGAAAAAUUAAAAUAUUCUUCCUAUUCUGAGGAGUAGUUACUCCAUUCCCAAAUUGAACUUCCAUUCCCAGGAUUGAACUUCAGGACUUCCUCAUGGCUCUUGGAGUAUCUUUAAUUUUUAGUUUGUUUAAGUAAUUCUAGUCUCUUAAAACAUACAGAUAACUUACAGAGCUGUUACAUUGUGAUCCCAUUAUUUUAUACUUAUUCAGGCAUAAAGUAAGUAGCCUGAGAAAAGCACUACCUUUUGCUAUGAAUGUAUCUCGGUUUCCUCUGAAAUUACAGUUUUUUUCUCUUUAGCUGUGAUAAAUUGUCCAGAGCAGUGGAUGUUUUCAGUCGUAAUUGACAGAAUCCUAAUUUUAUCUCUAGGUUUUUUUCAUGUGUACUGCAGGAUUCUUUUAAAAACAGCACCUGGUCCUGGUGAUUUUAUUAUUUGAGUUUCUCAGGCUUUCAAUAAGCUCUUCUUUUGAGACAUCUAGGCCUGGGGAAACUACUGUGAAUCCCUAUAAGGCACAUCCUUGAGAUAGGAAUUUCUCUGUCACCAUUUAUGUUAAAACCAAAUAAUUUAUAUUCAGCUUCUUUACCUGUGACACCUUCUUUCAUCUGCCUCUGGAUAUUACAUAGACAAAACUAAAAAAUAUCCUCCUGAAUUCUAACACCUUUAAGAAUACUUCAAUUCUUCUCUAUGAGUGUGUGUUGUGCAUUGAUAUGUGGCGCUGCAUGCAGCCAUCGGUACCCAUGAGUACCAGUAGAGCAGAACAUUUUUCAGCAGCACCUGUGAAAGCAAUAACUGCCUUUCUGUGUGCAAGAGUAGUGUUAAACCAUUCCCUCAUUCUUCAGACUGCCAGUGGCUACAGAGAGGUUUUCAUUAGCCAAUGAUAGUGGCAAUUUUUUUUUCACUAAUCUUCAUUAGUUUUUUUCUUACUUGACUUUCUUACUUGUUUAUGUUAACACUUCAAUAACUGUUAAGAUGUGGUUUAGUUAAGAAAUCCUAGCAUCUCUGGUUUGUCGGGUUUGGGUUUUUUUCGUUUUGGUUGGAGAAAUUGCUUUAGCCUAAGAAGAAUUCCAUGUCUGCACAUACCCCAUGAAUGAGCAUAACCUCCCUAGCAUUCAGACAUUUGCUGUGCAAUGUUGUGGUAUCAUUAAAGACUGUCUACAGAAGAUACACUUUACUUGACUUGAUGAGCAUCACAUGUAUCUUCUAAGAAGGCUGAGCAAGUGAAACAUCUUGCCUCAAGAUGUCACAAGUGAUACAGGCACCUGGCCUCUGUUUCUAGUUUGCCUGAGCAGAAACACUUGAGAAAGACCAGAGCUCUUUUGCUUUUCUAACUUCUUGUCCUAGGCUGUCAGCAAGUCUUCUAACAUGGUUAAAUGUUGAUUAGAUGGAGACAAGGAACAGAACAUUUGCAAAACAGAUCCCGAUUUUGUCUUACAUAAAUUUUUCUGAAGCACAUUUCAGACCUGGGAACACCAGGUAGUCCAGUGAUACAGAGCUGGAAUUUUCAUGGUACAGUGGUCUACAGUACUUGGAUUCCUUGGCAGCCAUAAUUCUAGAGAAAUUAUCAGUGACAAUGUGGCACCAAAAUUAUAGCAAGGUUGAAUCACUUUUGAAUCCUUGAGCUUCAUCAGAGAAAUCAAGCUCCUCACUGUCAAAUCAGGCUCAGAAUCUCCCCUCAUAAACUUCAAUGGGUGUCUGGCCUUCAGUAUUGAUUCAAACAUUCUCUACUCUGCUCAUAGUCAGAGGUCAUUUUUUAUAAGCUUCCACCAUCCUGUAGGACUAGUUCCAUAUAAAAUACUCCUGUGCUUAGUCAGAACCUGAAGACUGUUCUGUACAGUUCUGUUUGGCUGGACAUCUUACACCAGUAGAAGUUGGUGUGGUUCACACUAGGGCAGCUUAUAGAGAUGGGAACUUCCUGUAUUUUUCAGCAUCUCACAGAUUCAGAAGUGUUAAGGUUGGAAAAGACCUCCAGGAUCUCUAGUCCAACCAUUAACCCAGCACCACCAUGCUCACCACUAAACCAUAUCCCCAAGUGCCACACCCACGUGCCUUUUGAGCUUUCCGAGGGAUGGUGAUUUCACCACCUCCCUGGGCAACCUGUUCCAAUGCCUAACUGCCCUUCCAGCGAAGUAAGUUUUCCUACUAUCCAAUCUAAACCUACACUAGCACAACUUGAGGCCAUUUCCUCUCAUCUUGUCACUUGUUAUCUGGGAAAAACAGUGACACCCUAGGUGACUGACUGAUGCCUUGCUACAACAUCCAUUUAGGUAAUUGCAGAGAACUUGUUUGUUCUUCCUGGUAACAAGUGACAGGAUGAGAGGAAAUGGCCUCAAACUGUAUCAGGGGAGGUUUAGGUUGGACAUUAGGAGGAAUUUCUUCUCAGAAAGGGUGAUUAGAUACUGGAAUGGGCUGUCCAGGGCAUGGUGGAGUCACCAUCCCUGGAAGUGUUUAAGAAAAGAUUGGAUGUGGCACUCGGUGCCAUGGUCCAUUUGACAAGGUGGUGUUCAGUUGGUCGUAGGUUGGAUUUAAUCUCAGAGGUCUUUCCCAAGUUAAUUGAUUCUAUGAAAGCUGCCUCCAAUAACAGCAAAUAUUGAUACCUAGAGCAAAAAGGUGCUGAAGUUUUAUCUCUGCUGCAGAAAUAAUUACCUUUGGAAAAUGAAGGUCUCUAGAGUAUUAUUAGUUAAUAUUGCAAAUGCUAAUUUGAAAUGUUAAGCAUUGCCACAGACAUCUAGAAAGGAAUUUAGAUACGGUAUAGUAGUGACAUUUCCAAAGACAGAUAUCUUGAUGAAAAGUAUUUAUGGGUUUUCUGAAACACAGUGACCUAUUCAGUGCUUUGCAUACUCUUUGUAUGACAGGGUUGUACACACUCUUCUUAGAUCCCCAAGACAAGUAAACACCAGUUGCCAACUACAGGAAUCACAAGAACAUAGUCUUUCCAGCCCUGCAGGCCUACCUGCCCUCCAGCAAAGCAGCACAAGACUUAAAGAGGGGAAAAAAAAAAAAGGCAACUUUCUUGUGUGUUGCAGUUCACCUGCUUUUUUCAUCCACAUGGCAGUGUCUGAUUAAAAAUAUUCCAAAUGUUUUGGUGCAAAGUUGUACCUCUUCCUUUCAAGCACUGAAAUGGUUUUAUGUGUUAAAAGCUACCAACUGUCACAGAGGUUUGUGUAUUCUGUUUUAGUCCCUCAUUGACUCCUUUUGGUCACAAGGUGUUUUAUGAGAGCAUGUUAGAUCAUUGGUAGCACUGCUUCUUUUCCUAUGGAAAUGAGAUUCCCUUUUUAUCUCUUAAAAAGGGAUGGGGAAAGGUGGCAGUGAGCCAAUUCCAAUUCCAGUACAGUAUUCACUUAGGCUGUCCCAGAUCUCAAGAAAUGUAAAUACCCACAGCUGAAAGAUCGGAUACAGAGCAAUGUUUUCAGCCAGCAGUUUACCACUACCAAGUUAGAAAGCCCUGAAAGCUCUGAGCUUUUGAAACAGUUAUUUCCACUCUGUUACCCACCCUGCCUGAAGGAACUGUGUCAUCUUUCUAGCAGGCGUCAUUGCCUCCAGUAUAGACCUGUGUGCUUGUUGCUGCCUGUUUCAGAAGAACAAAAACCCACGUAUGCAUGCAUGUCCUGAACACACCAUAAGUGAUGUAAAAACUGUCAUUACAUCCUUCACUCGUGGCUUUUCUUGGUCCUGAGGGUAGACAAGAAGUCAGCAUGGAUCCCUGCACAGAACAGAGAUGAACCACUCCAUAGCAGUCUGAUGUUCCAUUAGCCUUCUGCGACUUCACAUAACAUUCAUUUUUCCUAUUCAAUCUCAGAGCCUACCUCAGAAGUUCAUUGAGAGCAUGGAUCAUGAGUCAGAGGGUGGUGAGGCACUGACACAGGUUACCCAGAGAAGCUGUGGAAGCCCCAUCCCUGGAAUUGCUCAAGAGCAGGUUGAAUGGGGCUUGAAGCAACCUGGUGUAGUGGAAGGUGUCCCUGCCCAUGGCAGAGGGGUUGGAACCAGAUAUUGUCUUUAAGGUUCCUUCCAACACAAACUACUCUGUGAUUCCAGGAGUCAGACUUUCAAUAGCUUAGCACAAAACGCUGUUAUAGCACAGCCUAUGAGGGCAAACUAUAGCCAAAAGAGGAGUUACUCAGGUGUACAUGUGCCUGCCUGGGUAUUUUCCAGCAGGGAGCCUCCAAAAAAAGAAUCUUGCAAAAAGAUGAUUGUUUGUCCAUCAUUUUUCCAACAUGUAUUCAUAGAGAUUUUGGGACUGUAUAUGGACAGUGAAGUCUCGAUUGCACUAGCACACUUCAAUUGUCAAAUCUUAUAAAAUAGGAGCAGAAAGCAGUUUUAGCCUAACCAACAAUGGAAGAAACUUCUGUUACAUCAGGGACUAUGCAGAUACAAUGUUUCCCCUAUGUUCUUGACAUGCCCAUAUUUAAGCUAUUAUUGUGUUCUGGAGAUCCAUGGUUUACUGAGCCAUCUUCAGAAGAUAAUGUUUUGAACAACUAUAGGUAGCAAAUGAAUAUCAUAUGGUUUAAGGAUAGAAUUGCAAAUGGAGGAAAAAAAAGGUAAACCAGUCUGUUCCAGGAAAUAUCUUUCCAGUUUAUGGAAAACUGGGAACUUACUGUCAGGGUUAGUGCUCACCAUAGCGCAACUGGCAUUGAAACAAAGGCCACCAACAGGACAUAUCCAGGAAGUAUUCAGUAGGCUUAUCACCCCAGCACUACCAAAACAGUGAUGUUACUCUGAUCUUCAAAAUUUAUCUAUUUGAUCUCCAAAAGCUUAGCUUCUGUUUCCAGGUGAGAGGUAUCAACAUGACUAAUCUAUCUGAUGUCUGGAUCCUGCAGUGUUUCACUUCACAGCACAUGCAGAAAUUACCUCCUAAAGAGAAAUUUUCUUCUUCACAUAUGUGAAUUAUUACUGGAAGAUAUUCUAUAGAUGCAUUAACCUAACACAUUGGAAUAAAAUAAAACAUCCCUAUAGUUUCAUGAACA
This is a long non-coding RNA of Serinus canaria (Common canary), 13174 nucleotides long. RefSeq lists it as uncharacterized. The record is from RefSeq and is a predicted model, not a curated record. Lineage: Eukaryota; Metazoa; Chordata; Aves; Passeriformes; Fringillidae. The transcript is spliced from 5 exons.